RNAcentral lists this ribosomal RNA (518 nucleotides) under uncultured bacterium. Its description in RNAcentral is "bacterial SSU rRNA". It matches the Rfam family "Bacterial small subunit ribosomal RNA", at positions 37 to 518 of the family's 1533-position model. The record is from RNAcentral.
UGGCGGCGUGCCUAAUACAUGCAAGUCGAGCGCGGGAAGGCAAACUGAAUCCCUUCGGGGAUGACGAUGUGGAACGAGCGGCGGAUGGGUGAGUAACACAUGGGCAACCUGCCUGUAAGAUUGGGAUAACUCGCGGAAACGUGAGCUAAUACCAAAUAAUCCUUUACAUUUCCUGAUGUUUAGGUAAAAGGCGGCAUUUUGCUGUCACUUACAGAUGGGCCCGUGGCGCAUUAGCUAGUUGGUGGGAUAAAAGCCUACCAAGGCAACAAUGCGUAGCCGACCUGAGAGGGUGAUCGGCCACACUGGGACUGAGACACGGCCCAGACUCCUACGGGAGGCAGCAGUAGGGAAUCUUCCGCAAUGGACGCAAGUCUGACGGAGCAAACCGCCGCGUGAGUGACGAAGGUCUUCGGAUCGUAAAACUCUGUUGUUAGGGAAGAAUAAGUAUCGUUCGAAUAGGGCGGUACCUUGACGGUACCUAACCAGAAAGCCCCGGCUAACUACGUGCCAGCAGCCGC